GACGAACGCUGGCGGCGUGCCUAAUACAUGCAAGUAGAACGCUGAAGGAGGAGCUUGCUUCUCUGGAUGAGUUGCGAACGGGUGAGUAACGCGUAGGUAACCUGCCUGGUAGCGGGGGAUAACUAUUGGAAACGAUAGCUAAUACCGCAUAAGAGUGGAUGUUGCAUGACAUUUGCUUAAAAGGUGCACUUGCAUCACUACCAGAUGGACCUGCGUUGUAUUAGCUAGUUGGUGGGGUAACGGCUCACCAAGGCGACGAUACAUAGCCGACCUGAGAGGGUGAUCGGCCACACUGGGACUGAGACACGGCCCAGACUCCUACGGGAGGCAGCAGUAGGGAAUCUUCGGCAAUGGACGGAAGUCUGACCGAGCAACGCCGCGUGAGUGAAGAAGGUUUUCGGAUCGUAAAGCUCUGUUGUAAGAGAAGAACGAGUGUGAGAGUGGAAAGUUCACACUGUGACGGUAUCUUACCAGAAAGGGACGGCUAACUACGUGCCAGCAGCCGCGGUAAUACGUAGGUCCCGAGCGUUGUCCGGAUUUAUUGGGCGUAAAGCGAGCGCAGGCGGUUAGAUAAGUCUGAAGUUAAAGACUGUGGCUUAACCAUAGUAGGCUUUGGAAACUGUUUAACUUGAGUGCAAGAGGGGAGAGUGGAAUUCCAUGUGUAGCGGUGAAAUGCGUAGAUAUAUGGAGGAACACCGGUGGCGAAAGCGGCUCUCUGGCUUGUAACUGACGCUGAGGCUCGAAAGCGUGGGGAGCAAACAGGAUUAGAUACCCUGGUAGUCCACGCUGUAAACGAUGAGUGCUAGGUGUUAGACCCUUUCCGGGGUUUAGUGCCGUAGCUAACGCAUUAAGCACUCCGCCUGGGGAGUACGACCGCAAGGUUGAAACUCAAAGGAAUUGACGGGGGCCCGCACAAGCGGUGGAGCAUGUGGUUUAAUUCGAAGCAACGCGAAGAACCUUACCAGGUCUUGACAUCCCUCUGACCGCUCUAGAGAUAGAGUUUUCCUUCGGGACAGAGGUGACAGGUGGUGCAUGGUUGUCGUCAGCUCGUGUCGUGAGAUGUUGGGUCAAGUCCCGCAACGAGCGCAACCCCUAUUGUUAGUUGCCAUCAUUCAGUUGGGCACUCUAGCGAGACUGCCGGUAAUAAACCGGAGGAAGGUGGGGAUGACGUCAAAUCAUCAUGCCCCUUAUGACCUGGGCUACACACGUGCUACAAUGGCUGGUACAACGAGUCGCAAGCCGGUGACGGCAAGCUAAUCUCUUAAAGCCAGUCUCAGUUCGGAUUGUAGGCUGCAACUCGCCUACAUGAAGUCGGAAUCGCUAGUAAUCGCGGAUCAGCACGCCGCGGUGAAUACGUUCCCGGGCCU
Molecule: ribosomal RNA, 1367 nt
Filed under: uncultured bacterium
Lineage: Bacteria
Description: bacterial SSU rRNA
Rfam family: Bacterial small subunit ribosomal RNA
Source: RNAcentral